Drosophila albomicans is the source of this 194-nucleotide long non-coding RNA. RefSeq lists it as uncharacterized. The transcript is spliced from 2 exons. The record is from RefSeq and is a predicted model, not a curated record. NCBI's taxonomy places the organism in Eukaryota, Metazoa, Arthropoda, Insecta, Diptera, Drosophilidae.
AAGCUCUUUCAACAGUUCAUUAUGAAUACUUUUAAGCGCAUUCUGUUUAAAUAUUCAAUAUUUAUUUGGACAGCCUUGUGUCAAUUUGGUUCCAUUGCGUCUACGAUGGCCCAACGACAGGGACAAAAGGGAUAACCAAAAUCUGAUUGAACUUCUGCUUUAUAUUAUAAUAUAAAUAAGCCUUUUAAUAAAUA